This is a long non-coding RNA of Homo sapiens (human), 609 nucleotides long. RefSeq lists it as uncharacterized. NCBI's taxonomy places the organism in Eukaryota, Metazoa, Chordata, Mammalia, Primates, Hominidae. The transcript has 2 exons. The record is from RefSeq and is a predicted model, not a curated record.
AAGAAUGCAAAUUAAAUAAGAAAAGCCCUCUGCCCUUCAGGAGCUUUUGGUGAAGAUCUCUUUUUUAAAAAGCUGCAAGACUGCUGCCCGAAGUGGGACACACAACCUAAAUAAGGGCGAGAACCGGCAAGGACGGCCCAGCCACGUGGAACCGCCUCGCAACUCUGGCGAGCAACUUGAGAUCUUCUAGAGACCCAGGAGUAUGUUGCUUCUACCUCAGACUGGGGAGAGGGGAGCUCCCCAAAACGAUGGAGGAGAUGAAGAUAUCAACCAGCCAAAUUCCUGUUCACGACCAGCCUGUUGUGAGCUCUCCUGGGGGAUCAGCAGUGGCUGAGAGGUUGGAUGUGUGAUGGAGUAGGGUGGGUUUAUGGAGAGUGUUUGUUCCAGACAUGACACAGGGGAAGGGCUCACAGGGUUCAACCUGAUGAGCAGGUGCAAAAGAUAAGGCCCCUAUUAAGGCUAAUUUGCUGAGAUUUUCAUUUUAGCAAAAACAAAUGAUCAGUUUUUUGGAUGUCUCAAAUAUGUUUGAAAUUUAUGUGUAUUCUCUAUGGUUGGGCAUGAAUUUAUGAAUGUAUGUGUGUAUAAAUAAAUUUAAGUGUGUCCUUCAAA